RNAcentral lists this long non-coding RNA (2129 nucleotides) under Podarcis lilfordi (Lilford's wall lizard). The record is from RNAcentral. Lineage: Eukaryota; Metazoa; Chordata; Lepidosauria; Squamata; Lacertidae.
UUUCUCCUACUGUUUCGUCAAGAUGUAAUCAUUAAAAAACGCAUCGAACCUGGUUUUUGUCAAAGCUAGGAUGCACAAUGAAACAACCUUCAGAAUCAGCUUCCUGUUUCAAAGCUGCUUGAAAAGUCCAGCCUUUUGAGACCACCUUUCUAACAUAGAUCCCAGGUAGGAUUGACCAUUUAAGUCCAUGUAGGCCUCAUAUUCCAAAUGCCCUUAUACCGCUCUAAGUACACCAUCUCAACACUUUUACUGCGCCCUACCAACUCUGCUCAAAUUAUUAAGAGCACGAGAUACAAAAAAUGCUAAUGCAAUGUUUCAUUUUUAAAGUGCAUUUUUAGGAAUGUGAAAAUCUGAUGGCUUUGCUUGAUGAGGUAAGAUGGCUAUAGCAAAGAAGGGUUAGUUGUGUGCACAUUAAAUAUAGAUAGACGGUAGCAUAUUACAGAUAAAAAGAGGGAAAUUUGCAUUGUAAUAAGCCCGCUGUUAGCAUCUUAACAUUGCAGUGAAGUUUAUUUACUGCAGCGGAAAUCAAACUCAUUUUACAGGUCCUGGGUUAUGAACCACAGUAAACUAAGGAAGCCGGGUGCGGGUGCAGGUGGGGAACGUAACCAGUGAAGUGAAAUUAGGGAAAUAAAAAGCCCUUGUUGACAAAGGUACAACAUUAAACCUCUCUGCAUUCUUCUGUUGCCUAAGUGUACUUGAGGAAGGAGUCUCCAUCACCUUGACAGCCCACUUUAUUUCUGCACUGCGAAGUUUAUUUACCUGAAUUAUUAAUGCUGCUUUUGUUUGUAGCGAUAUCUUAAUUUUUCCCCCCUUUUCAUUCACCUGUCACAAUUGUUUUUGAUUCACAUCUCAGAAUGAUGCGCAAAUCUUUAGGAAGCGAUUCAGUGUCACCCACAUUUUUGCUCUCUUAUCGCGUGCUUCUCUCUUCAUGGUAAAGCUGGGCUGUUCUGCGGGGGGUUUAUCCCCCCCCUCCAUGAAGACUGUCAGUCACAGAGAUUAUGCUUUAAACUUAACCAAGUGGAUACAAGAUCGAAUUUAAAUGACGUCUCAUAUGUCAGCAGAUAGUAUAUCAUGUAGAACCAGCAGAGCCAACGCACACAUAUCUUCCUAAAUGAUGUAAACAGUUUCUGUAGCCUAUAGUGUGAUCCAGAAACUGUUAGCGCAAAUAGUUAAGAACAUAGGAAGGUCCCUGCUGGAUGAGGUCCAGGACCCAUCUAGUUAUAGAAUUGUAGAGUUGUAGAAUUGGAAGGGACCCUGUGGAUCAUCUAGUCCAACUCCCUGCCAUUCAGGAAUAUGCAGCUGCCCCAUACAGGAAUUGAACCUGCAACCUUAGCAUUAUCAGUACCAUGCUCUAACCAAGUGAUCACCAUCCUGUUCUCAUAGCAGGCAGACAAAUGCCUGUGGUAAGCCUGAAAGCAACGUCCAAGUGCAACAGUAUUGUAAUAGAUUUGGGAGGGGACCCCCCACCUAAUCCCUAUAAAUUAAUAAAUGAUUGGAUUUUGAUUAUUUGGGGUGUUAAGGGAGAAAUACAAAUUGUCGAGGAAUUCCUGAGCUAGCCUGUGCCAAAUGAGCUGGCCAACUGUUUCUUAACAUGACAGGGCUAUGGAGGGCCAUUGGCAAUGCAAGAGAAUUGUGUUAUGUACUGAAGUUCUCACCCUGGGCCAGCAGGGGGAUACUGUAGAUAGUUUUCACUCAGGUCCACAUAUGCAAAUAAGGGAUUGAAUGAGACGUUCAGUGAUUGGAUAGUUACAGAAAAUGGUUACUGUUGUGUUGUAGUGGAGCUCUAUAUAAGCAGGCUGGCUGAAUCCUUCAGUUCAGUUCUGUUCUGGCCUGUGAAUAAACAAGAGCUGUUUGAAGAAUCGCUGUGUCGUCUGAUAUGUUCACCCACAACUUAACAAAUUGUCCUUUUCCCCUGUUGCUCCGAGGUGUGGACAGUGACAGAGGUUGGAAGGCUGCCAGCAUAACUGGGUGUGAGGUGAUAGGAAGAGAAUCCUGAGCAAGGUUCGCUGGGAAGAAGAAGAGGAAGGAGAAAGACUGGGAUCCAUCUUGGGUGGGCAGGCUGCUGGCGGGCUGCAAAAGAUGCCUUGGCCUCCAUGGCUGCCCUGCUGUGGUGGAUAUGCCCCUCUGGA